GCACCCGUAGCUCAACUGGAUAGAGCGUUCGGCUACGGACCGAGAGGUUGUGGGUUCGAAUCCUACCGGGUGUG
RNAcentral lists this transfer RNA (74 nucleotides) under Fidelibacterota bacterium. RNAcentral's name for it is "tRNA-Arg". It matches the Rfam family "tRNA". From Rfam's summary of the family: Transfer RNA (tRNA) molecules are approximately 80 nucleotides in length. Their secondary structure includes four short double-helical elements and three loops (D, anti-codon, and T loops). The record is from RNAcentral. Lineage: Bacteria; Pseudomonadati; Fidelibacterota.